GUCGGGAUAGCUCAGCUGGUAGAGCAAAGGACUGA
Molecule: transfer RNA, 35 nt
Filed under: Bixa orellana (lipstick tree)
Lineage: Eukaryota; Viridiplantae; Streptophyta; Magnoliopsida; Malvales; Bixaceae
Description: partial transfer RNA-Phe
Source: RNAcentral